Molecule: ribosomal RNA, 253 nt
Filed under: uncultured prokaryote
Description: partial 16S ribosomal RNA
Rfam family: Bacterial small subunit ribosomal RNA
Source: RNAcentral
ACGUAGGUGGCAAGCGUUGUUCGGAAUCACUGGGCAUAAAGCGCACGUAGGCGGCCAAGUAAGUCAGGUGUGAAAUACCUCGGCUCAACCGAGGAACUGCGCCUGAUACUGGUUGGCUUGAAUCCGGGAGAGGGAUGUGGAAUUCCAGGUGUAGCGGUGAAAUGCGUAGAUAUCUGGAGGAACACCGGUGGCGAAGGCGACAUCCUGGACCGGUAUUGACGCUGAGGCGCGAAAGCCAGGGGAGCAAACGGGA